RNAcentral lists this ribosomal RNA (470 nucleotides) under uncultured organism. RNAcentral's name for it is "partial 16S ribosomal RNA". It matches the Rfam family "Bacterial small subunit ribosomal RNA", at positions 335 to 797 of the family's 1533-position model. The record is from RNAcentral.
ACUCCUGCGGGAGGCAGCAGUGGGGAAUUUUGGACAAUGGGGGCAACCCUGAUCCAGCAAUGCCGCGUGAGUGAAGAAGGCCUUCGGGUUGUAAAGCUCUUUUGUCAGGGAAGAAACGGUAGUAGCGAAUAACUAUUACUAAUGACGGUACCUGAAGAAUAAGCACCGGCUAACUACGUGCCAGCAGCCGCGGUAAUACGUAGGGUGCAAGCGUUAAUCGGAAUUACUGGGCGUAAAGCGUGCGCAGGCGGUUGUGUAAGUCAGAUGUGAAAUCCCCGGGCUCAACCUGGGAAUUGCAUUUGAGACUGCACGGCUAGAGUGUGUCAGAGGGGGGUAGAAUUCCACGUGUAGCAGUGAAAUGCGUAGAUAUGUGGAGGAAUACCGAUGGCGAAGGCAGCCCCCUGGGAUAACACUGACGCUCAUGCACGAAAGCGUGGGGAGCAAACAGGAUUAGAUACCCUGGUAGUCCC